RNAcentral lists this long non-coding RNA (1959 nucleotides) under Helicoverpa zea (corn earworm). Its description in RNAcentral is "uncharacterized LOC124634376, transcript variant X2". The record is from RNAcentral. Lineage: Eukaryota; Metazoa; Arthropoda; Insecta; Lepidoptera; Noctuidae.
UAAAUAAUAUUCGCUUGUAUACUGUUUUCUUUACUAAAGAAUAAACAACAUAGAAUAUGUGCUGUACGCCUUUGAAUAACAAGUUAGUUUUCGUUUAUCAAGCAGUGUUACUUUUACGUAAGUACUAACGUAGGGGCCCAUCUAUGUACAGCUACCAAAAUUGGAUUUUGUAAUGUCAGUGGAUUUACUGUCGUGGGCACUGUGGGUUUGCCUACAAUCCUAAUUUAGGUACUUGUGACGUGCUUAUUUUCAUGUUACUCACUCUGUCAAGUCCCUUAUGUACUUCCCCUACAAGCUCCCUACCUCGAUGAACUCUCUUAUACGGGUGUAGUACCUACUCCGUUUUUAAACUCUACCCUAAUAAACCUUAUGUAUAGGUACACCAAUACUUAAAUACUUAUUUAUGGUACUACCUACACCAAUGUACUCUCUUAUGUAGGUACUGUUUUACGUAUUCCCCCAAGUACCGAAUGGCCAUUUAGAUGGUCGAUUUAGCCCGCGCGGCAAAAAUCGUGCGGUUGUACCUACAUAGCCCUAUGUACUCUUUGUACUUUUUUUUGGCAGGGGAAAAUCCUCAUGGACUUUCCUCCACCUGGGGUCGAUGUCCCGGACUCUUACAGGCUAAAAACCCACACAGUGUUGCCUUCAAUUACCUAUUGUCGAGGGCACGGGUAACGCCAAAGCAUUCUUCUGCACCCCCGACAGGUACCUAUUGGCCCGCCAGAUGUUCAAAGGCGGACCCUGAUACCCUCUGUGUCAAACCAUCACAUCCUCACAAAAGGAAGCGACGGCGUUCCACAAUUCUUCGCUGCCGACCAUGCAGGAAACGACAGCCGGCAUCGAACGACUUCCCGCAGAAUCUACUGCUGCCGCAAGAUCACGGCGCUGCGUUGCCCAUGCUGUGCACUCCACCAAUGUGUGCAGCGCCGAGUCUUCGCUGCAUAUGCCACAGUGGUGGCAUUCGGGCGUGGGCUCCCGGCUAUGCGACACAGAAACUUUCCAAAACACCCAUGUCCGGUAAGAACCUGCGUCAGCCGGAAGCUGAGGGCGCCGUGGCGUCGCUCCAGCCACUCCUUCAGUAUGGGCCUUACCGCCGCGACAGCGGAGUGCCCUGCCGUGCGUCGCGUAAGUCGCUGCUCCCAUUCCGCAAUGAGGUCUUGGCGGAUCUCUGCCCUGCGCGUCUCAACUUGCCGAGGCACGAGGCCCUCGCCCCGCCGCUGCUUAACUCUCGUUGUGUAUUUCCCUCAUUCAUGUGCCACCCCUAUGUACUGUCGUGUCCCUGAAUGGAAUGAAUGUUUAGUAGGAAAGUGAAUUUUCAACCAUGUCGGAUGGAUGUGUUGCGACAGCUCUGUCCUUUAGGUACCAUACAAUCAGUAGGUACAUAUUUAAUGUGGAGGCUUAAAUAAAGGAUAAGGAAGUAUGUACCUAAGGAUAACGAUAGAUCAAUAUUUUCGUAGCAUCGUCUUACUCCUAUGUGGAUGGAGUUACGACAAAAAUGGCAAAAAAAUUGCCGAAGAAUCCACCAGUGUGGUCUAACGAGCCGAGCGUGUAUUCCAUGCCAAAUCUGCGUAAAGAUAACAAAGAAGAGGAAGAAGCAAGCGCGAUAGGCGGAGGAAAACAAGCUCAGGCAGACGGCGCGGCUAACAGUUUGGCAAGCCACACAUAUGGGGGCAUGUUACAAGCUCAAACCCAACAAGAAAGUUCACCGUGAGAACUCAAAAGAUUCACACAUAGGGGAUGGCUAUUACUGGCCAAAUAAUUACUAGAAAUAAAUACCUACUAGUAGACUUUACGUGAAGAGUGGCAGUUAUUAUCCAACUUUGGCAAUGAUGCCAGCCUGUUAACAAAUUGUGAAGAAAUACUGAUACUUUUAAAAACAUGGCGGUAUGCAAUUGAAAGCCAUUCAUCGUUAGAUACACCUAUAUUAUGUGUAGUGUAAAUAAAUUCCUGGAAAACUGA